UCCUCUGGCCAAGUGAGAAACAUGAAGAUUAGAAGUGCAGCACAUGCCUUCUAAAGAAGCCAGGCAUGGAACAGUUCUGGGAACACAGCACUGAUAAAACUCUUACGGAUGAAUUUACCUAUACCUGUGUUUCAGCCUUGUGAUCUGGCCCUGCCAAAAACAUCGUUUGAAUCUCAGCUCUGCCACUUGCUAACCUGAC
Gorilla gorilla gorilla (western lowland gorilla) is the source of this 199-nucleotide long non-coding RNA. RefSeq lists it as uncharacterized. The transcript is spliced from 3 exons. The record is from RefSeq and is a predicted model, not a curated record. Lineage: Eukaryota; Metazoa; Chordata; Mammalia; Primates; Hominidae.